CGGGUUCCAGAUCUCCACCGUCGCCGCUCUAUGGAUGGUUCCGAAAAGACUCUUCUUGAAUCCAUGGAACUUGAUGAAUCAAUUGUCGGAUAGAAGUUCUUAAUUGUCCAUUCAUUCUCAAUUCUAAAUAACCAAAAUACAGUUUAUUUAUGUAUUCAUACUAAUUGCAUAUGUAAAACAAAGUUUUUAUCUUAUUUUGCUUAUUUUGUAUUUACAAUAUCACUUUGUAUAUCAAAUAGUUUGUAUUUAGAUUUGAUUUUGUAUUCGUCCUAAUG
RNAcentral lists this long non-coding RNA (275 nucleotides) under Solanum tuberosum (potato). RNAcentral's name for it is "long non-coding RNA (STUB_LNC010984)". Lineage: Eukaryota; Viridiplantae; Streptophyta; Magnoliopsida; Solanales; Solanaceae. The record is from RNAcentral.